RNAcentral lists this transfer RNA (77 nucleotides) under Azospirillum sp. RNAcentral's name for it is "tRNA-Pro". It matches the Rfam family "tRNA". From Rfam's summary of the family: Transfer RNA (tRNA) molecules are approximately 80 nucleotides in length. Their secondary structure includes four short double-helical elements and three loops (D, anti-codon, and T loops). Lineage: Bacteria; Pseudomonadati; Pseudomonadota; Alphaproteobacteria; Rhodospirillales; Azospirillaceae. The record is from RNAcentral. RNAcentral also lists the same sequence under 3 other names.
CGAAGUGUAGUUCAGCCUGGUAGAACGCUGCGUUCGGGACGCAGAGGUCGCUGGUUCGAGUCCAGUCACUUCGACCA